AUUGAACGCUGGCGGCAGGCCUAACACAUGCAAGUCGAGCGGAUGACGGGAGCUUGCUCCUUGAUUCAGCGGCGGACGGGUGAGUAAUGCCUAGGAAUCUGCCUGGUAGUGGGGGACAACGUUUCGAAAGGAACGCCAAUACCGCAUACGUCCUACGGGAGAAAGCAGGGGACCUUCGGGCCUUGCGCUAUCAGAUGAGCCUAGGUCGGAUUAGCUAGUUGGUGAGGUAAUGGCUCACCAAGGCGACGAUCCGUAACUGGUCUGAGAGGAUGAUCAGUCACACUGGAACUGAGACACGGUCCAGACUCCUACGGGAGGCAGCAGUGGGGAAUAUUGGACAAUGGGCGAAGGCCUGAUCCAGCCAUGCCGCGUGUGUGAAGAAGGUCUUCGGAUCGUAAAGCACUUUAAGUUGGGAGGAAGGGCAGUAAGCUAAUACCUUGCUGUUUUGACGUUACCGACAGAAUAAGCACCGGCUAACUCUGUGCCAGCAGCCGCCGUAA
This 500-nucleotide ribosomal RNA is filed under the name uncultured bacterium. RNAcentral describes it as "partial 16S ribosomal RNA". It matches the Rfam family "Bacterial small subunit ribosomal RNA", at positions 30 to 523 of the family's 1533-position model. The record is from RNAcentral.